RNAcentral lists this ribosomal RNA (525 nucleotides) under Levantiniella levantinensis. Its description in RNAcentral is "partial 28S ribosomal RNA". It matches the Rfam family "Eukaryotic large subunit ribosomal RNA", at positions 56 to 490 of the family's 3401-position model. The record is from RNAcentral. Lineage: Eukaryota; Metazoa; Porifera; Demospongiae; Tetractinellida; Tetillidae.
AGAGCAACUAACCAGGAUUCCCCCAGUAACGGCGAGCGAAGCGGGAGCAGCUCGAGCAGUCAAUCUCUGGCGUGGAUCGCCAGCGAAUUGUGGCCGGGAGAGGCGGGUGCACCCGACGCGCCUCCGUCGAAGUUGACCUGGAAAGGCACGUCGGAGAGGGUGAUAGCCCCGUGCGGGGCGGAGGCGCCGAGGGCCGCUACCGUCUUCCGAGAGUCGGGUUGUUUGAGAUUGCAGCCCAAAGCGGGUGGUAAACUCCAUCUAAAGCCAAACAGCGGCACGAGACCGAUAGCGAACAAGUACCAUGAGGGAAAGGUGAAAAGCACUUUGGAAAGAGAGUUAAAGAGACCGCGAAACCGUUAGGAGGGAAACGCAUGCAGCCGGACUGGCCCUCGUCGGGUUCAGGGGGCGGCGGCAGCCUCCGCGGUGGCUGGUGGCACCCCUCCGGGGCCGCAGCUGCCGCGAGGUCUCCGCGCCCCUGCACUCCCGACGGUUCGGGUCGGCCAAGGGCGGUGGUGUCCUGGGCGA